UAUGUAUCCCUGUCGGGCAGGCCACCGUUAUCCCCGUACCGGCUAACCCAUGGAAGGCUUGGGCAGGGGGUAGACUCUCUGCUCCGCCGUUACGGCUGAGUAACACGUCGGCAACCUGCCCUCGGGACGGGGAUAACCCCGGGGAAACUGGGGAUAAUCCCCGAUAGGGGAUGGGUGGUGGAAUUCCCGCAUCCACGAAAGGGACGGCGGGUUUCCGCCGCUCCGCCCGAGGAUGGGCCGGCGGCCUAUCAGGUAGUUGGCGGGGUAACGGCCCGCCAAGCCAAAGACGGGUAGGGGCCGUGAGAGCGGGAGCCCCCAGAUCGGCACUGAGACAAGGGCCGAGGCCCUACGGGGCGCACCAGGGGCGAAACCUCCGCAAUGCGGGAAACCGUGACGGGGGGACGGGGAGUGCCGGGGUAUUCCCGGCUUUUGGGGAGUGUAAGUAGCUCCCCGAAUAAGCGGUGGGCAAGA
RNAcentral lists this ribosomal RNA (471 nucleotides) under uncultured Nanoarchaeota archaeon. RNAcentral's name for it is "bacterial SSU rRNA". It matches the Rfam family "Archaeal small subunit ribosomal RNA", at positions 1 to 451 of the family's 1478-position model. Lineage: Archaea; Nanobdellati; Nanobdellota. The record is from RNAcentral.